Drosophila kikkawai is the source of this 671-nucleotide non-coding RNA. The record is from RefSeq and is a predicted model, not a curated record. NCBI's taxonomy places the organism in Eukaryota, Metazoa, Arthropoda, Insecta, Diptera, Drosophilidae.
AUUUGUUUUUCCGCGUGUUCGCACACGUUCACGGCAGCAAGAACAACAACGUGCGGUGUUGUGAGCUUGCCGCAAAAAUCAAAUAAAAAGUCCAACCACAAAAAUCCACAAAUAUAUGUAUUAAAAGUGGCAACAAUAAUGUCGGCAAAAUGCAGUGCGUGAAGCAAGAAAAACAAACAAAUAUACAGCAGCAACUCAAGGAAAAGCCACUGGGAAAAGUACUUUGGACAAGUGAAAAAUCCCUCGAUUUAUAAAUCGCCAAUAAAAAAAAAAAAGGAAAACACGAGAACGACACGCUGAGAAAAUUGCUGGAAAACCGGACAAAAUGUUUGGCAGCCAGCUUGGCUGCCUUUGAGGCUAAGUGGAGUGGCUCAAGACACGCUCUGAAAUAGAACGACGCCCCACAAAGAAGACCCUUUUUUAAGACAAAAAGUAAAAAAGAAAAAAACUAUCGCAUUAUUACAAAAUUCUUCUAUAUAUAUUUGAAAUAUUUUAAAAUUUAAAUAACUUAAUUCAUAAUAAACUAAUUGAUACUUAAUUAAAUAAUAGUAAACAAAGCUCAAAUAGACUGAAAUAGAGUCCAAAUAUAUUACGAAAGUAAAAUGCAAUUAAUUCAACAUAUCAUAUAAAUUAAUUAGAACAAAUUGCAUUUAAGUUAUUAACAAAGAAAA